CGUGCCAGCAGCCGCGGUAAUACGUAGGUGGCAAGCGUUGUCCGGAUUUAUUGGGCGUAAAGCGAGCGCAGGCGGAAGAAUAAGUCUGAUGUGAAAGCCCUCGGCUUAACCGAGGAACUGCAUCGGAAACUGUUUUUCUUGAGUGCAGAAGAGGAGAGUGGAACUCCAUGUGUAGCGGUGGAAUGCGUAGAUAUAUGGAAGAACACCAGUGGCGAAGGCGGCUCUCUGGUCUGCAACUGACGCUGAGGCUCGAAAGCAUGGGUAGCGAACAGGAUUAGAUACCCUGGUAGUCCAUGCCGUAAACGAUGA
RNAcentral lists this ribosomal RNA (309 nucleotides) under uncultured bacterium. RNAcentral describes it as "bacterial SSU rRNA". It matches the Rfam family "Bacterial small subunit ribosomal RNA", at positions 504 to 812 of the family's 1533-position model. The record is from RNAcentral.